This 367-nucleotide ribosomal RNA is filed under the name uncultured bacterium. RNAcentral describes it as "bacterial SSU rRNA". It matches the Rfam family "Bacterial small subunit ribosomal RNA", at positions 527 to 896 of the family's 1533-position model. The record is from RNAcentral.
GGAGGGUGCAAGCGUUAUCCGGAUUCACUGGGUUUAAAGGGUGCGUAGGUGGGCUAGUAAGUCCGUGGUGAAAUCUCUGAGCUUAACUCGGAAACUGCCGUGGAUACUAUUAGUCUUGAAUCUCGUGGAGGUAAGCGGAAUAUGUCAUGUAGCGGUGAAAUGCUUAGAUAUGACAUAGAACACCGAUAGCGAAGGCAGCUUGCUACACGAGUAUUGACACUGAGGCACGAAAGCGUGGGGAUCAAACAGGAUUAGAUACCCUGGUAGUCCACGCCCUAAACGAUGGAUACUCGACAUACGCGAUACACAGUGUGUGUCUGAGCGAAAGCAUUAAGUAUCCCACCUGGGAAGUACGACCGCAAGGUUG